GCCUAACACAUGCAAGUCGAGCGGCAGCACAAGUAAGUUUACUUAUGAGGUGGCGAGCGGCGGACGGGUGAGUAAUGCCUAGGGAUCUGCCCAGUCGAGGGGGAUAACAGUUGGAAACGACUGCUAAUACCGCAUACUGCCCUACGGGGGAAAGAGGGGGACCUUCGUGGCCUCUCGCGAUUGGAUGAACCUAGGUGGGAUUAGCUAGUUGGUGAGGUAAUGGCUCACCAAGGCGACGAUCCCUAGCUGUUCUGAGAGGAUGAUCAGCCACACUGGGACUGAGACACGGCCCAGACUCCUACGGGAGGCAGCAGUGGGGAAUAUUGCACAAUGGGGGAAACCCUGAUGCAGCCAUGCCGCGUGUGUGAACGAAGGCCUUCGGGUUGUAAAGCACUUUCAGUAGCGGAGGCAAAGGGUGAGUCUUAAUACGGCUCAUCUGUGACGUUACCUACAGAACGAAGGACCGGCUAACUCCGUGCCAGCAGCC
This 487-nucleotide ribosomal RNA is filed under the name uncultured bacterium. RNAcentral's name for it is "bacterial SSU rRNA". It matches the Rfam family "Bacterial small subunit ribosomal RNA", at positions 46 to 516 of the family's 1533-position model. The record is from RNAcentral.